This 77-nucleotide transfer RNA is filed under the name Oscillospiraceae bacterium. RNAcentral's name for it is "tRNA-Ile". It matches the Rfam family "tRNA". From Rfam's summary of the family: Transfer RNA (tRNA) molecules are approximately 80 nucleotides in length. Their secondary structure includes four short double-helical elements and three loops (D, anti-codon, and T loops). The record is from RNAcentral. Lineage: Bacteria; Bacillati; Bacillota; Clostridia; Eubacteriales; Oscillospiraceae.
GGGCCAUUAGCUCAGUUGGUCAGAGCAUUCGGCUCAUAACCGACCGGUCCGGGGUUCGAGUCCCUGAUGGCCCACCA